RNAcentral lists this long non-coding RNA (333 nucleotides) under Mytilus galloprovincialis (Mediterranean mussel). Lineage: Eukaryota; Metazoa; Mollusca; Bivalvia; Mytilida; Mytilidae. The record is from RNAcentral.
CAGCCUUCCGAUUUUCACAAAUCUGAUAGAUUAUAUAAAAAACUUCUCCAUUACUGGUCUUAUUUUUUUAUAGCUAACAGGGCUAAAGCAUGUAAGAAAAUUUUGCAUUUUUAAGGGUCUUUUGAAUGUUGUCCCCAGGGGAACUUUCCCUCCUGAAAGACCAAAAAUUUAUUUCUUGUAAUGUAAUGUGAAGAGCAUCAUUUCCUGAAUGUACCCUAUUAAUCCAUUAUUUUAGGUGAAUAGCUGCCAGUUUAAAAAACUUAACUCCCCAAAGAUCAGAAUUUGGAGAAAAAUAAUUUUGUUGUUCUCUCCUGUACAGCCUUUUGGUGUACC